GCUCAGUUUUUCACCAGCGACUCUCAUGGCUCAGCCUGCUGUGGCAAUCUUGAGUCAAGGUUCUAAUGCAAAUGUGGUAAAACCUGUAUAACCAAAUAUUCAAAUUAAGCCUGGUUUAAACAUUUUCGAAAAUCACAAUCAAAGAAAAUCCUAAAGAAAAACAGCAGUAGCAAUGAUCAACCAGCAUUUUCCAAAAAUGAUGAUGAUUUCGAUGAUGCUUUAGAGGAUGAAGGUUUUUCUCUUGCAAAGAGUAAAAAGAAUCAUAACAAGUCAAGAUUCACCGUAGAAUAUUCUGAGUUUGCAGAUCCAUUGGUUAUCCUUUCAGCCAUUCCCUAGAAGUCAUGCCAAGACCAACCAAAGCCAUCGUCGCCAACAGCGAGUGCUAUCAUGUGACCGUCCACAAAACAAUCGUAGCCCUACAAAAAUCAAACCAAACCAUAACAGUCAAUUUAGAAUCUUCUGGUUACAAUUUGUAGCAGAAUCAUAAUCGUUCAGUUUUCAUUCAAUCAAGUACUGAUGAUGAUGCUAUCAUGUUUUUUCGACGAGUUGAUGAAUUUUUCAAAGUUACUCUUCUAAUAUAAUCUCAAGAACAAACACAAGGAUCAACCUAGAAAGGAGGUUGAUGAUCACUGCCCACGUUCUUCAGCAGUUGAUGGCUCUUUGGUUGACAAAAGACCCGACGUUCAUCCUGAAACAUAUAGCAAAAGAUCAACUUUCUUUAGUUGGAUUAAAAGUUGGUGGCCAUUUCAGAAAAGCAAUGCAAAGGCUGAUGAUUCUACUGCUUAUCAGAACAAGGUGACUAGUAAUUUAGAGGACUUCAAGUUACCUGAACUAGACCAACAUGCUAGUAAUCUUGAAAACCCCUUUGCAGUGGCAGAGCAGUCAACAUCUUCUGCCUAUUCUGUUUUUGUCUGUCUACAGCAACCAUAUACAGGCUAACAACACUUCCAAUAGCAAAAUAAAAACCACUUGUCUGCAAUUACUCCUCUGGCUCCCAUGGCAUGCAAUAAAAACCAGCAACUUUAAUCUCGGAGAGCUUUACCUAUAGAUUCAACAAAAAUAGAGUUCAAAGUUCAGUACACAAUAAUACAAGGUUUUCAGCAUUGAAGGAAAAGGAAUCGAAUUAGGGUGAGUAACCCUGUUGAAGCAGUUGACGUAGAUGACCAAGUCAUCUAGUAUGUGGACUUAGACACAUCCUCAUGCAAUAACAAUGCGGCAACCCCUAUACAAGAAACCAAGCCCGGAAGCUUCCAUCACUUGGACCUCCUGCAAUGCAAACUCACUUGGGUGUAGAGUGUACCAUCCAUAACUUGAAUAAAUGCCUGCAAAAAAAGUGUCCAUCAGUUCAAAGUUCAACAAGUUAACAGCAAAAUAAAUGGUUUGAUGAAAGUCAGCUCGUCAAUGUUGAUUCCUCUGCUCAAUGGCCGGUAUCAAUUGAUGCACAAGAAUCCUGCUCAAAUGUAGUACUUUUAGGUUUUGGCAUUGUUGAGAAAUGCAAUAAGCAUGAUACAUUUUCAAAUCUCCUAAAAUCAGGAACUGCUGAGCCGCGUACAGAAGGUGCAAAUAUAUCCUUGUUAUUAGACUUGAUGAAGAUAUAGUUCUCAUGCCAAAACAACAACAAACAAUGUCAAAUUGUUACCAAAUCUGACACAAUGUCAGCAAUAAAUUCACUCUCCUGGAACAAGUUGAAGGAACUUACUCUAUGCCGAAUAAGAAUGGGAAACCUUGUAAGCAAGGUGAUGUACUGAGACUAUCCAUUCAGUACAUCCCAAUGGAGUAACUGAGCCUUUAUCAUCAAAGAGUAAGAGUGCUUCUCCUUAUUUGGGUUGAUCCUACAUUAAGAAGUAUUUUGGGUUAUAAAACAGAUGGUGUCAUGGCAACUCAUGAUGAGGAAACUAGACGAUUUUUCAAGCACUCACCAGUGAGUGUGCUGCUUUGUACGCAUCAUCAAAGCAGACUGGUCAAGCAAAAGGAAGUUGGAACUAUAUGUACGCAUCAUCAAAAAACUGUAACUGUGGAUGGUGGUGUUGGGAAUAACAGAAGAAAAUUGUAGCAUUUGUUGGGGGACUUGAUCCUUGCGAUGGUCAUAUAACAGCAUACCAUUAAGUUUUUCAAUGGCCUCUUGAGCAGCAUCCUCACUAUCAAACUGAACAAAGCCAUAGCCUUUUAACUGGCUAGAUCCUGCAAAACAUCAAACCACACAUGAACAUUCUGGUAAUUUCACAGCAGUAAAAACAUAUUAAUUUAGCAAGGCGGUAAAAGUUAACAAAUAACCCAAAAAGGAUUAGGACAAAUUCAAGGUAAGAAAGUGCAUGAAUAGUAUUACCUUUUCCAGAUUAAGCGUCAAAUGAGAGGAUUAGGACAAAUUCAAGGUAAGAAAGUGCAUGAAUAGUAUUACCUUUUCCAGAUUAAGCGUCAAAUGAGGAAGACAAAGCUGAAGCACCUUAAAGCACUUCCAAGGGAUACCCUUUUGAUCUCCAUAAGUCGAAUCUGAAACCCUAACAUGGUGAGUAUAAAAGAAGAGGGGCAGAUACUAUUGAGGGACCACGAAAAACCCUAGAGUAUUGGACGGCGGCUGAGAACGACGAAGAACCCUAGAGAGAAAAAAGGUUAGCAAGAGUUCUGGGAGAAAAGCUUCACAAAAAGCCAUUAGCAUUAGCAAAAAUCAGGGAAAGAAGACGGUGGUCGUAUACCUGUUCACUCGUCUCCAAAAUAUCCCGAUCCGGUAGAUUCCUCGCUUCUUCUUGCUCUUCAGUAUCCAGCGUCAACCCCUAUUUUGUUCAAGGUUCGUGAUUUCGUUGCUAUUGUUGUCCUUUAUUUUCUUCUUGUUUUUGAGUAUUGGUUUUGCGUUAGGAGAAGUAGAUUUUUUUUAUAUAUUGAGGAAGAGGCUUUUGAGCUGAGAGGAAGAAGGUGACCGUUUGUUCUUUCCCACUUCCCCAAGGGUUUAAUGACUUCUUCGUUUCCCCAAGAGCAUUAAUGGCUCUCCAUUCUCUUCCUCAUGUGACUGUUGGGACUCUGUUUCCCACGCGGAAUAGGAAGAGGCUCACCAACCCAGGCCCAUACCGUUUAGGAUCCUUAGUUUAAGUUGGAUUUUACUCUAAGAUAACCCAGCAGCCCAUCUCGUUUUAGUAGUUUUUUUAUUUUAAUUUAUCUUGGUAUAUUCGUGUUCAUAUAUUUAAGUUGGUGUUAAGGAAACAAAUGAUCAUAAGUGGCCGAGUGGAGAGAGAGCGAUUUCACUUUUUUUAGUGCGAUGGGUUCGAUACUUGGGAAUAUCAUAUCUUCAUAUUUUUAUUUUUUUAUGCUUAUUAUUUCAUUUAAAUUUUUUAUAACUUCUUACUAUUUAUUUUACUUUUAUAUUUUUAUUUGAUUAAUUUAAUUUAAUCGUUAAUUAGUUGUUUAGAUUUUUAAAUGUUUAGUUUUUUUUUUAGAUUUUCUUAAUUAUUGACCUUUUUUGAUAUGGGAUUUUGUACGGUUAAUUGAUUUCCAUGUGCUAGUUAAUUUAAUUAGGUUAUCGGUAUCUAGGUUCAUACCUUUACACAUGUAAAUAAUCACAUUCAAAUUCACUAAAUUUUCGAUUCAAAUUUCAUUAACUUUCCAUAGUUUCACCAUUCAAUUUCAUUUCCUAUUCACCUUCAAAUACAAUUUCAAGCCAUUUUUCCACUAACACUCCAUUAUUCAAAUCAUUUUCUUAAUAAAAUUUGAAGAAAAAGAUUAUCCUGGAUGGAAUAUUCAGUUAUAAUCCCGAAUAUUAGGCUCAAGCUGUAAGAGCUUGCAAGCCAUAAAUAUUAUAAUAAAAUUUGAAGAAAAAGAUUAUCCUGGAUGGAAUAUUCAGUUAUAAUCCCGAAUAUUAGGCUCAAGCUGUAAGAGCUUGCAAGCCAUAAAUAUUCGUCUUCCCUCCAAAACACUCAUAAAUAUUCGAACCAUUUUCUUAGCAAUAUUGGAAAGAAGCAGACUGCCUGGAUGGAAUGUCCAGACGUAGUCUCGAGUAUUAGACACAAGUUGUAAGAGCUUGCCGGUCAUAAGUACUCGUCUUUCAAACUCAAAAAACACUUAAUUCCUACCUUAACAAUUUUUCAAUAAAGAUGGAAAUGGAAGAUGGUGUAUACCGUGCACUCUUGAGAUUAAGAUUCUUGGUGGAUGCCUUGCCUAUCUUAGCUCUCGCCAUCGUCUAAAGUUGCCAAUGCGGUUUCUUCAAACCCUUUCUCAAUCAAAUUCAAAACACUUAAUCUUUAUUAAACACUUUUUGCAAAUAAGAUGGAAAUGGAAUGUGGUGGAUACCACGCACUCCUGAGUCUAGGAUUCGAGAUGGAUAUCUCGCUCAUCCAAGUUCUCGCCAUUACUCAAAAAUACAUCCAACCAAUCAAACUCUUUUCUUUGCCGCAAUGCGGUCUUUAAAACCUUUUCAUAAACGAAAGACAUGUUGUCUUAAGGUGAUGCAAAACAAUGUUUCGGCCACGAUUGUUGAGUCGAGAUAAGUGACGUUUUUCCGAAUGCUGAUUUGUAAAUCCAUUCGAUGUGUGGUAUAUGUCCGCUCCUCAUCUAUUUUGGGUAAAACAAUGUCUUCGUCGAUUAAUACAAUAUGGCUUUCGCUAAAAUCGACUAACAAACAAACAUUUUUCUACCCAGAACUACGUAAGCCUUGAUUUCUCUUUUGAGAUACGUAGGAGCAGGAUUUGUAAAUCUUGUCAGGCUCACUAAUAAAAAACUUAGGUUUAGUCCUUCGUCAAAAAUCUAAAAACAUUCUCCUCUCAUUCUUUCUUUCUUUCCCACCUAAUAAAUUGAAAAGCCUAACAUUUCAAACUAACAUUAAUGCACAUAACUAACCUAACGGUUCCCGUUGAGUACAACGGACAUGAGGUGUGCUAAUACCUUCCCCUUGCGUAAUCGACUCCCGAGCCUUGAUUUAGUUGCGACGACCAUAAUCAUUGUCGUACUUUCUUGGGUUUUAUCGAUAUUCCCCCUUUCCUUUUUAGGAAUAAAUAAAGUUUGGUGGCGACUCUGUUUAGUCCAUCAUUGCGAGCGUGCGAUUGCGCUUCGCUAAGUCGUGGCCCCAUUUUUCGAGGUGUGACAGAUGGCGACUCUGCUGGGGACUUUCUCCCUAAGUGAGUCAAGCCUAGUUAGGACGUUUGUAGGCCUUUGUUUGUUUACCUGUGUGGAUUUUUCUUUAUUGUUUUGCUAUAUUUAUAGUCCUAUUGAUAUAAAUCUGUUGUAUUGGUUCAAUAUGCUUUGGGACUUAGAGAUACUCUGAUUACAAACCUUGUGGGAAAGACUUUUUACCCGAGUCUCGAGUAAAAACAUAAAAUAAGACGAGGUUGAGUAGUGCGGGUCCACGAGAUGAAUUUCUCGUUGGGUCGGCGCGAGAACCUUACUUAGAGUAGAUUCUUGAGAGGAUGUUGUCGCUCGGCAAGUAAGUUGCCAUAAGCUUCAAUAUUUUCUUUAGGAUCCAUGACUCUGAGAACCAUUUGUAGAGCCUUAGUUCUUUGUCCAACUAGGAAGGAUGGUUGCGUAGCACGGGUCUGCGAGUUGAAUUUCUCGUUGGAUCGAUGCGAGAACCUCACUUAGAGUAGAUUCUUUAGAUGGAGUUGAUGCCCGACAAGUAAGUUGCCGCAGGUAACAAACAGUCUAAUGGAUCCAUGACUCUAGGAACUUUUUUUUAAACUUUAGAUCAUACCUGGUGAGAACCAUGUUCUAUACGAAGCAAUCAGACUUAUCCAUGCCUUAAGCCUAUUGAACUUAUACAAAAAAAAUGCAUCACAUUCAUCCACAUACAUUGCAUCAACAUCAUAAAAAGCAAGCUCUUAGUUGUCUCUUAUUUGUUUCAGGAAUUGAGAACUUGAAAAUGACAACUUCAAGGAGACACACUUUCACACUUAAAUACAAGGAACCUAAGUUGGACAGUCUGAAGGGUUUGAUCUCUGAUUUGACUCUCAGCAGGCGUGAUGAGUUCGGAAAAACUAUGGGAAAAUUUUGAGCCUUCUAACUAAGAAAGUUGAUUAUGGAAUUAUCGGCUCUUUGGCACAAUACUAUGAUCCACCUCUAUGCUGUUUCACAUUCGCUGAUUUCCAACUAGCUCCUACUUUGGAAGAAGUUGAGAGGAUCGUGGGUCUCAAAUUGAAGGAUUUCAAUCCAUUUCCAAAGCUCGAAGAAGAGAUGGGCCCAAAGAAGAUACACAUUCGCUGAUUUCCAACUAGCUCCUACUUUGGAAGAAGUUGAGAGGAUCGUGGGUCUCAAAUUGAAGGAUUUCAAUCCAUUUCCAAAGCUCGAAGAAGAGAUGGGCCCAAAGAAGAUAGCUUCAACCCUAAGUAUCAAUGUCCCGACUGUUCGAGACAAUUGGGUUGAAAAGGGGGGUUGCGAAGGUUUUGCCGCAAUGUUUUUGGAAGAUUUAGCUUUGAAGUUCAAGAAGAGUGGAAAUUGGAAUGCAUUCUAUGCUGUGUUGGCUUUAUUGAUAAAUGAGAUUGUGCUCUUCCCAAAUGUUGAAAAAUUUGUGGAUCAGGUAGCCAUAGAAAUCUUUCUCUCUGGCAAUCUAGUACCAUUCCUCUUAGCUGACAUUUACCAUGCCCUUCACGCUCGACAUGAAAAGAGGGGUGGAACUUUGUUGUGAUGUGCUCCUUUUGUUUAUAAUUGGUUCAUGCAACACAUGCCUGAAGAAGGCCCUUUUGUGGCAAAAGAACCUAAGUCUCCUCAAAAAUUAGCUUCUCUCACUGCAAGUUCCAUCAGUUGGUAUAUCCGAGAGUGGGAAACCCCAUACAUUAUAGUAAGUUGUGGGGAAUUUCCUAAUGUACCAUUGUUGGGUACCAAGGGUUGCAUCAACUAUAACCCUAUGUUAUCUCGAAUGCAACAUGGUUACUCCAUGGAUGGUCCUCCUGACGCAAAGGACUUACAGCCAUUUGUGCUCUUUGACAUCCAAGCAAGCAAUCCUGAUAUGAGAGCGGUACGAAAGGCUUGGUUAAAGGUUGUUAGGAAAGGUAAAGAGUUUGGAAAAAGAAACAUUCUCGCCAGAGAACCUUACACUCGGUGGGUGAAAGAAAGAGUUGGGGAAAUCCAUUUGCCAUUUAUCUUGAAGGCUUCAGCCUUUCCCAAAACUCCUGAGCCCAAACCCAUACUCCCUGAGGACAUGGAAAAACUCACUACUAAGGUUAAGGAGCUUGAAUUGGAGAAUACUGAAUUACGGAUUCAGAUGAACCGAGUUAUCUUGGAAAAUCAAAAUUUGAAGGAGGAACGUAAAGGGAAAGCCCAAGAACUUGAGGAUAGUAACAAGAGAGCCAGGCUAUUGGAAGACCAGAAGGAUGAUCUUGAUCAUAUCCUUAUAGGUUCCACAUCAGUGAUCCGAACCAGGAAGGAAGAGCUCAAGAAAAGCCCAAGAACUUGAGGAUAGUAACAAGAGAGCCAGGCUAUUGGAAGACCAGAAGGAUGAUCUUGAUCAUAUCCUUAUAGGUUCCACAUCAGUGAUCCGAACCAGGAAGGAAGAGCUCAAGAAAGCCGAGUAUAGGAUCUGUGAGUUAGGGAGAAUGUUGGAUAAAUCCCUUAUGGAUAAGAAAGAAAUAAAGCUCGACUUUGAGGCACAGAUCCGUGAACUAAGGGACACUCUGAAGAAAUGCGAGGAAAAGUUGUCUCACGAGAUACUCCAAAAGGAAGAAGCUGAAAGAAACUGUCACCAUCUCAGGUACCAGUUGGAAGAAGCUACUAGGAGGUUUGAAGUUUUGGAGAGCCAAGAAGGUGAGGCAGCCUACUUGCUCCUAAAGAAUGAUUGUGUGUAUUGGAAAAGGUUGUAUAGAGAAGCUAGAGCAACCUUAGAUGAGGAUCAACAGGUCAUCAAGAAACUCCAAGAGCUCUAUGUUGAAUGGAAUGGCAAGUUCCGCAACUUAGCUAGGUUUGUUAACCUCAACAUGUUGGAGCUCCCAGAAAAACUCCAGGAAGCGGAUUGGUUUCCACACUGAGUCCUCAACACCACUACAACACCUGAGCCAACGCUCGUCAAAGAAUGGCAGAUCAAGAACAAGAAUUGGAGAGAGUAAGCUCAGAACUCGAAGACCUACGAGGAAACAUGGGUCAAGUCAUGGAGAUACUACAAGUUAUUAGGGCCAAGUUGGACACCCAAACGACGGUCGUUUCAGAAAUCACCGGUCCUACGAUUGAACCCCAACCUACAAGGACAAUACCAACCACCUGGCCAGUCUAUGGUUUACCUCCCGGUUUCACACCUCCAGUUGAAGGCGCCCCUGGUCUUGUAUAAUCCACUCAGCAGUCGGUUCCUCUACCAGCUAUCAAUGAAACUCAUCCAGUGGUCCACACGUUCGCACCACCCCUUGUCUGUGCACAUGUGCAACCUUAUUUUGAGGAUCAACAACAUGCUCCGAACUUUUCGGACGAAGAUGAUGAAAGGAAGGAAAACAUAAGAGGGAUGAAAGAUAAUUUCCAUAUUCUUGAGAAAAGGUUAAGGGCUACGGAAGGAGGCCAAGUUUUUGGUGUUGCUGCUAAGGAGAUGUGCUUAGUGUCAGGUCUUGUGAUUCCUGCAAAAUUCAAGACCCCAGAUUUCGAUAGGUAUGAGGGCCACUCGUGUCCUAAAAGUCACCUUAUUAUGUACUAUCAAAAAAUGGCUGCGCACGUAGAAGACGAUAAACUUAUGAUACAUUGCUUCCAAGACAGCUUGAGGGGUGCUCCCUCUUAGUGGUAUUUAAGCCUUGAUCAAAGUAGAAUUCAUUGUUUCCAAGACUUAUCUGAUGCUUUCAUCCAACAUUAUAAGUAUAACAUGGAUAUGGCCCCAGAUAGGAGGCAAUUGCUCAACAUGUCCCAGAAAGAUAAACUUAUCUGAUGCUUUCAUCCAACAUUAUAAGUAUAACAUGGAUAUGGCCCCAGAUAGGAGGCAAUUGCUCAACAUGUCCCAGAAAGAUAACGAGUCUUUUAAGGAAUAUGCACAACGAUGGAGGGAGGUGGCCUCGCAAGUCGAAUCACCCCUUGUUGAGAAGGAGUUAGCAGAUUGGUUCAUGGCUACGAUAAAACCUAUGUUUUAUGAAAGGAUGGCGAGUAGUGUAUCUGGAAGCUUCUCUGACUUGGUUGACGUGGGCAUAGAGGUCGUGCUUGGAUUGAAGAAUGGAAAAAUGAUAACCACCUCUGAAACAUCAGGUAAUAAUGCCAAAAAGUUUCCAAGAAAUUUUCAAAGAAAGAAAGAGGGUGAAACAAACGUAGUGUCAACCAGUCAAAGGAGGAGUCUUUCAUGGAAGAAGCAACAUCAAUUUGCUCAACAACAACCAACUUAUCCAGUGCAGUAUGUUCAACAACCAUAUGUGGAAGCAAUCACACCAAAUUUCAACCAGUCACAAGCUCCUGUCUAUCAACCUGUUCAACAAACACCAGUAUACCAGCAAGCACCCACGCCACCUGCUUAUCAACAGCCAAGGGCACAGGCUGCCCGUCCACAAAAUCCUCCAAAUCAAAAUAGGGUGCAAAGAGGUAGACUUCUGUUCGCUUCAAUCCCUAUGACGUACACUGAGUUGUACCCAUCGUUACUGCGAAAAGGGUUGGUGACUCCCAGACCUUUGGGUCCUCCACCAAAUCCCUUACCUCCAUGGUAGGUAGACUUCUGUUCGCUUCAAUCCCUAUGACGUACACUGAGUUGUACCCAUCGUUACUGCGAAAAGGGUUGGUGACUCCCAGACCUUUGGGUCCUCCACCAAAUCCCUUACCUCCAUGGUACAAUCCAGAUGCCCAUUGUCCUUUCCAUGAGGGUGCCCCUGGACAUGAUCUAGAAGGAUGUUAUGCUUUGAAGCAUAUUGUGAGAGAGCUGGUUGAGAAGAAGAUUCUUUCAUUUCGAGAUGUCGGACCCAACGUAAAAAGUAACCCUCUGCUGGCGCAUGGCGAUGUUAAUGCCGUCGAGGAUGCUUCCGAUGUUUGUAUAAUAAAAAAUGUUGAAGAUGUUAAAACUCCGUUGCUAGCACUUCAUGCAAGAUUGGUGGGAGCUAGUUUGAUUGAUACAUGCCACGACAACUGUGAAGAAUGUGUCGUUCAUCCAAGGGGAUGUAAAGUGGUACGAAAUGACAUUCAAAACUUGAUGGAUCAAGGUGUUUUGCAAGUUUGUGGUCCAACAAAAAACGAGGAAGUUUCAGUCAUUGAACCUGUUUUCAAUCUUCCAGAACCGGUUGAGAUAACUUAUCACGGAAAAGAUGUUGUUCAUCCAUCACCCGUGGUAGUUUGUAUGCCUACCCCCUUUCCUUUUGAAAGCACCAAGGCGGUACCCUAGAAAUAUGACAUAACUGUGGUAGAUGGAGUGGUAGAUGAAAAACCCAAAGCUGCCGAAAGUGAGAAAGGCUUGGAGAAUGUUGACACUGAUAUCACUAACAUCGCAGGGACGAGCAGGAUGACCCGCAGCGGUCGGAUUUAUACUCCCAAUAUUAAUAUAAACCCUCAAGAACCAACAAGGGAAGCUGCAACUGCAAAUCCAACCCCAGAGUAUGGAGGGGCACAAACGGCAGUGCAAGCAGAUGAAGCAAGUGAAUUUCUAAGAAUAAUAAAGAAAAACGACUACAAGAUAUUUGAUCAGUUAUAUCAGACACCGUCAAAAAUAUUUAUCUUGUCUUUGCUUCUAAAUUCCGAAGCUCAUAGGGAGGCUCUACUGAAAGUGCUUGCUCAAGCUCAUGUUACCCAAGAUAUAAUGGUUGGCCAAUUUGAUGGGGUGGUCGCCAAUAUCACAGCCUGCAACACUCUAAGUUUCAGCAAUGAAGAGCUACCCAAAGAAUGGAAGAACCACAACCGCGCCUUACAUGUAUCCAUAAAGUGUCAAGAAGAUGCUCUGGCCAGGGUUUUAGUUGACACCGGAUCGUCCCUCAAUGUCCUACCAAAGAGGGCACUUGCUAAAUUAUCUUACCCAGGUUCAGAAUUGAAACCUAGUGCACUUGUGGUAAAAGCAUUUGAUGGUUCUCGAAGGACAGUUGUUGGGGAGGUAGAGCUACCAAUACAGAUCGGACCGCAUGUAUUCCCCAUCAAUUUCCAAGUCAUGGUCAUAAAUCCCACUUAUAGCUGCCUUCUGGGACGUCCCUGGAUACAUGCUCCUGGGGCAGUAACUUCUACUUUGCAUCAAAAAAUGAAGUUUGUUGUCGAUGACAAGCUCGUCAUUGUCUUGGGUGAAGAAGAUUUUCUCAUCAGUCAACUCUCCUCUUUCCGUUAUAUCGAGGUUGAUAAGGAUACCUUAGAAACCUCUUUCCAAGCGCUUGAAAUAUCCAAUGCCACACUUGCUGAGGUGGAGGAUCCUAUUGAGAAAACCAGUUUGUCGUUCGCCUCUUUGAAUAGUGCAAGGUCAGCAGUUGAAAGUGGAGGACCUGGAGGUUGGGGGCAAGUCAUCAAUGUCAGCGAGAAAAAUGAUCCUUUUGGUUUGGGGUACAAGCCUUCUGCUAAGGGAGGAGCCCUGGUCCCUGCAAAGGACCGCGUGCGGAGCAUACAAGAAGUUUUCCUGAGCACAGGAUUUAUCCAUGGGGAUCAAGUUGGUGCAGUUGAAGAUGACACUGAAGAUGGAGAGGCAUCAAAUUUGAUAUACCGAUGUGAAGCGGCCUUAACAAAUUGGGAAGCAGUUGAGAUUCCAGAAGUUUUUCCUAUGUCAAAGCAGAAUAAUCAAUAAACCAAUUGAAUUCGGUGACCCCACUACUUCCUAUAACUUUGACCUCCCCAUCUACCAAGCGGAAGAGGAUAGUGAGGAAGAUUGUGAUUUCCCUGAAGAAUUGGAAAGGCUGCUCGAGCACGAGUCAAAGGCCCUUCAGCCGCAUCAAGAACCAGUGGAAACAAUCAACCUUGGAACUGAGGAAGACAAGAAAGAGGUCAAAGUUGGGACUACACUUGGGGCAAGCAUCAAAGAAAGAUUGAUCGAGUUGCUACAAGAAUAUGUAGAUGUAUUUGCUUGGUCGUAUCAGGAUAUGCCGGGUUUAGAUACUGAUAUUGUUGUCCACAAGCUACCACUACAGCCAGAUCACCUGCCAGUAAAGCAGAAGCUCCGAAGAGCAAGACUCGACAUGGCUCUAAAAUUUUUUGAUGAGGUGAAACGUCAAUUUGAUGCCGGUUUUCUAGCAGUUGCGAAGUACCCCCAAUGGGUAGCUAAUAUUGUACCAGUACCCAAAAAGGAUGGCAAGGUCAGGAUGUGUGCCGAUUACAGGGAUUUAAACAAAGCUAGUCCAAAGGACGAUUUCCCCCUGCCACAUAUUGACACUCUGGUAGACAACACUGCUAAGUUCGCGGUCUUCACCUUUAUGGACGGAUUCUCGGGUUAUAAUCAAAUUAAGAUGGAUCUAGAAGACAUGGAAAAGACCACAUUCAUCACCCCUUGGGGAACAUUUUGCUACAAGGUAAUGCCAUUCGGUCUCAAAAAUGCUGGGGCAACUUACCAAAGAGAAAUGGUCACUCUUUUCCAUGACAUGAUGCAUAAGGAAAUUGAGGUUUAUGUAGAUGAUAUGAUUGCAAAAUCCCAAAGUGAAGAGGAUCAUAUGGAUCACUUGCAAAAGCUAUUUGAGCGUCUUCGGAAAUUUCAAUUACGGCUGAAUCCUGCUAAAUGCACCUUCGGUGUCCGAUUUGGAAAGUUGCUUGGUUUCAUUGUUAGUCAACGAGGAAUUGAGGUAGAUCCAGACAAGGAUAGGGCGAUACAAGAAAUGAUUGCUCCAUGUACAGAGAAAGAAGUUAGGGGAUUCCUGGGACGUUUGAACUAUAUCUCUAGGUUUAUAUCUCAUAUGACUGCUACGUGUGAACCUAUAUUCAAGUUGCUGAGAAAAGAUUAGGCAGUUGAAUGGAACUCUGACUGCCAAAUGGCCUUUGAGAAGAUCGAACAAUACCUACAAGAGCCCCCUAUCCUAAUUCCACCUGUUCAGGGGAAACCACUCUUUAUGUACUUAACUGUGCUUGAAAAGUCAAUGGGAUGUGUGCUGGGACAACAUGACGAAACCGGCUGAAAGGAGCAUGCCAUCUACUAUUUAAGUAAGAGAUUUACCGAUUGUGAAACCCGAUAUUCACUCUUGGAGAAAACUUGUUGUGCUUUAGCAUGGGCCACUCGUCGUCUAAGACAAUACAUGAUUUGCCACACUACUUUGUUGAUCUCAAAAAUGGAUCCAAUAAAGCAUAUCUUUGAAAAGCCUGCUUUAACUGGAAGACUCGCCCGUUGGCAGAUGUUACUAUCUGAGUAUGACAUCCAAUAUGUAUCUCAGAAAGCCAUUAAAGGAAGUGUGUUGUCUGAUUACCUAGCAAACCAGCCCGUUGAAGACUACCAGCCGUUGAAGUUUGACUUCCCUGAUGAAGACAUUAUGGUAGUAAGAGAUUGUGAAAUCCCAGGACUUGAUGAAGGACCUGAACCCGGAUCUCGGUGGAAGCUCAUGUUCGAUGGUUCCUCCAAUUACAUGGGGCAUGGCGUAUGAGCUGUUCUAUUAAAUCCGAAUGGUGGAUACACUCCUUUCACAGCAAGGUUGUGUUUUGAUUGCACAAAUAAUAUAGCAGAAUAUGAGGCGUGCAUCCUAGGCAUUGAAGCAGGAAUUGACCUCCGAAUCAAAAUCCUCGAAGUAUGUGGAGACUCAGCCUUGGUGAUAUACCAAGUCAAGGGCGAAUGGGAAACCCGUGAUACCAAGUUGAUCCCAUAUCGUGCCUAUGUCAUGGAACUAAACUCAGCCUUGGUGAUAUACCAAGUCAAGGGCGAAUGGGAAACCCGUGAUACCAAGUUGAUCCCAUAUCGUGCCUAUGUCAUGGAACUAAUAAAAUACUUUGACGAAAUCACUUUCCGUCAUAUCCCAAGAACUGAGAAUCAAAUUGCUGACGCUUUGGAUAUGUUGGCUUCAAUGUACCAAGUUAGAUUCCAUAAUGAAGCGCCUCUCAUUCAGAUCGAGAGGAAAGUUGAGCCUGCCUACUGCCAGUCGGUUGAAGAAGAAGCCGAUGGUAAACCCUGGUUUCACGACAUCAAAUGCUUUUUGCAAAAUCAAGAAUAUCCAACAGAUGCAACAACCCUUGAUAAGAAAACAUUGAGGAAGUUAGCAUCCAAAUUCUUCUUAAGCAAUGGUGUGUUAUACAAGAGAAACCACGACAUGAUUUUGCUCAGAUGCGUGGAUGGACGUGGAGCGGACCUGUUGAUCAAGGAGAUUCAUGAAGGAUCCUUUGGAACUCAUGCCAAUGGGCAUGCCAUGGCCAAGAAGAUUUUGAGACCUGGUUAUUACUGGUUGACCAUGGAAUCCGACUGCUUCAAUUAUGCUAGAAAAUGUCAUAAAUGCCAAAUCUAUGCCGACAAGGUACACGUGCCUCCGACCCUACUAAAUGUUUUGACGUCACCUUGGAUGGAAUCCGACUGCUUCAAUUAUGCUAGAAAAUGUCAUAAAUGCCAAAUCUAUGCCGACAAGGUACACGUGCCUCCGACCCUACUAAAUGUUUUGACGUCACCUUGGCCUUUCUCAAUGUGGGGCAUUGACAUGAUUGGCGCCAUCGAGCCUAAGGCUUCCAAUGGUCACCGCUUCAUCCUGGUUGCCAUUGAUUACUUUACCAAAUGGGUGGAAGCCGCCUCUUAUGUUAAUGUGACAAAACAAGUGGUUGCACGGUUCCUCAAAAAAGAGAUCAUUUUCCGUUAUGGAGUUCCAAGCCGAAUCAUCACGGACAAUGGGACGAAUCUGAACAAUAAGACCAUGAAGGAACUAUGCGAAAGCUUUAAGAUUGAGCACCAUAACUCUUCACCAUAUCGUCCAAAGAUGAAUGGCGCUCUUGAAGCCGCUAAUAAAAACAUCAAGAAGAUCCUGCAGAAAAUGGUGAAAACCUAUAAGGAUUGGCACGAAAUGCUACCCUUUGCAUUGCAUGGGUACCGGACUUCCGUCCGCACUUCAACAGGGGUAAACCCAUUCUCUUUGGUAUAUGGGAUGGAAGCGGUUCUCCCAAUUGAAGUGGAGAUACCUUCAAUGAGAAUCCUGAUGGAAACCAAGCUAGAAGAGGCUGAGUGGAUUCAAAAUAGAUUUGAUCAGUUAAACCUCAUAGAUGAGAAGCGAAUGACUUCUUUAUGCCAUGGACAGUUAUACCAGAAAUGGCUCAAAAGGGCUUUUGACAAGAAAGUACGUGUUCGGGAAUUCAGAGAAGGAGACCUCGUGCUCAAGAAGAUCUUGCCAAUACACAAGGACUCACGUGGGAAGUGGACUCCCAAUUAUGAAAGCCCAUAUGCUGCGAAGAAAGCUUUCUCCGGAGGUGCCUUGAUUCUCACAACUAUGGAUGAUGAAGAGCUCUCGCACCCCGUGAACUCUGAUGUAAUUAAAAAAUACUAUGCUUAAUAAAAACCCGCUAAGUCGAAAACCUGAAAGGGCGAUUUAGGCAAAAAAAAGGGUAUCCCGGUGGAUUGAAAACCCGAAAGGGCGGUCCAGGAAAAAUUUAGGGAUAAAAAAAAUGGUAGCUCGCUAAGUUGAAAACCUGAAAAGGCGACUUAGGAAAAAAGGAGCGUCCCGGUGGAUUGAAAACCCGAAAGGGCGAUCCAGGCAAAAGUUAGGGGCACAAGGCAUAAACUGCAUCAGUUGUUAUUGAUUGACACCGAAGAAUCUAAGGCGGAAGAUCAAUCCAGUUACUCCCCUUAGAAGUAAGGUUUUGGGAAAUCAUAUCUAUUAGGGAUGUUAGUGGUCGCUGAAUUCAACGUAAACUUUUCCUUAUUGCCAUUUUUCAAAUUUGUAACAUUCCGUGGAGCUACGCCAUUUGUGUGCUACUGUUCUUGAAUAAAAUACAAUCUUUGCCUGUUAAUCAUUGUUAAUUAUGUUCUUCUACGCUUUUCUUUGUUAUACAAAGUGUCAUUUAUUUGUUAAUAAUGAAAUUUUAAAACUUGAAUUUUUUUUGAAAUUUAGUAAAAGGAACAAAAUUACUUUGAUAUUUGUGAAAAUCAAAGGAAAAUCAUUUAUUUUUCCGAAAGUCUCAAGAUUGCAUAAAUACUCCUGGAUCACCAACAAAAUCUCCAUGGAACACAACUUAUUAAUCCUCUGGAAGGAUGGACCUUGGGUUAUUUAUAACUAUCAAUCAUGAUAGAUUCUCUUCUGGAUACACCUCUUAAUUGUACAGGUUUGAGUUAUUGAUGUUGAGGAAUCAGAAUCUCUGUAAACAGUCCCUACAAACUUCCAGUCUACCUAUUGUCAGCAUUGCAUAUCAUGAUCGUUCAUAUAUCAUGCAUAAAUAAAAAAUCAAGUCAUGCAUGGUUCAAAGUGUACUCUAUAUCCAUGUGUGUGACCCCUUCGGUCCCGUUGUUGAUUGUUAUCCCUUGACCCAAAGACCAGUUGUCACUAGUAUCAUUUCAGAAGUUUAAAUCGUCGUUGGCAUCACUGUCAGUCUGUUUGUAAGUACAAUUGUAAUUGGUAUCUGAAUUUUGGUUGUCACCAACAUUAUUUCAAGUCCAAUUGUUGUUGGCAAAAUCUGUUAAAAGCUGGUUGUAAUCCAUUGCUUACAGUCAAAGUCCAAUUGUUGUUGGCAAAAUCUGUUAAAAGCUGGUUGUAAUCCAUUGCUUAUAGUCAAAGUCCAAUUGUUGUUGGCACCAAUCUGUUAAUGCUUACAGUCAAAGUCCAAUUGUUGUUGGCAAAAUCUGUUAAAAGCUGGUUGUAAUCCAUUGCUUAUAGUCAAAGUCCAAUUGUUGUUGGCACCAAUCUGUUAAAAGUUGGUUGUAAUCCAUUGCUUACAGUCAAAGUCCAAUUGUUGUUGGCACCUAUCCGUUAAAAGUUGGUUGUAAUCCAUUACUUACGGUUAAAAGUCCAAUUGUUUGUUUGGUACGUAUAGAGAGUUUAAUUACCCUGUCUUUCCUGAUGGUUCUGUGAAAGUCAUGUAUGACUCAUCAUCUUGAGGAAUUCCCAGAAGCUUGGAGGUUUUUCGUUGUUAGAAAAGUCCAAUGAUGUUGGUUUCGUUUGAUUUCUUUGUAAAGAAUCAUCAUAGCCUUUUGCACGGAUGAUCUACUUAUAAGAAGACUCCUGCUUAUCUUUGUUUUGCCCAAUUUCCCUAUUAGAAAUCUCCAAAAUCUUUGAUUGGAUGAAUUUCUUGUGAGAAACCUCCAGAAUUGUCGGAAGUAUUCUAAAGUGUCAGGUUGGGUAUGAACCCAUUGAUGAAACUUGAUAUGUAUGUUUGUCAGUAUUUUCAAGUCAUGUAUGAACCUAUGGUUGAAGUUUUCUUUGUGUUUUCUAGUUUGUCAGGUCACGUCUGAACCUGUUAUUAAAUUCUUUGACUUUCUCCAGAAUCGUCAGGUCAUGUCUGAACCUGUGAGUGAAAUAGUUUGUCAGGUCACGUCUGAACCUGUUAUUAAAUUCUUUGACUUUCUCCAGAAUCGUCAGGUCAUGUCUGAACCUGUGAGUGAAACUUUCUUUGAAUAUCCAAAUGUUGAGGUCACAUAUGAACCCGUUGAUUAAAAAUUCUUUGGUUUUCUAAUAUUCUUAGGUCAUGUUUGAGCCAAUUGUUGAAACGCUUUGAAUUUUCCAAUGCUGUUAGGUCAUGUAUGAGCCUGUUGAUGGAACUUUCUUUGUGCAUUUUCCAAUGUUGUCAGGUCAUGUUUGAAUCUGUUUAUGGAACCUUUUUGAUAUCCCCCAACAUUGUUAGGUCAUGUCUGAACCUACUGUCAGAACCGUUCUUGGUACUCCCCAGCAUUGUCAGGUCAUGUAUGAACCUGUUGCUUUUGAGCCUUUAUUCCAGUAUUACCGGGUCAAGUCUGAACCUGUUUGAAGAAUCUUUUUCUUUGAUUAUUCCAGUGUUGUCAGGUCAUGUAUGAACCUAUUGCUGAACCUUUUGUUCCAACGUUGUCAAGUCAUGUACGAACUUGUUGUGGAAAUUUUCUCAAAAUAUUCAAGUUGUAGUAAGUCAUGUGUGAACGUACUGUCAAAAUAUCUGAUGUCCUGAGUGUCGUUUAUCAACUUUCACUUCGAUUACUCCCCAGUGUGUGUCUGACUCUCCAGCAGGAUUGUUAUCCUCAGCGAGUUGGCUGUACAUUGUUUUUGUAUUUCCCUGUGGGCCAUCAGAGUUCCCCGCAUAUUGGUUUGUCUGUUAUAACAUCUCCUGCUAAAAGUUCACCGUGUCCCUAACAGACAAAUUCAAAAAAAUAAUAAUAUAAAGAAUCAUGCAUCCAUGCAUAUCAUAUCAUAACAUUUGCAUUUUCAGGAUCAAAAUCUGGGCCUCCAUAGUAUUUAACCACCCCCCACUGCGUUCCGAUGAAAAAUGUUGUUUCAUUUUUCCUCUGGUGGAGGAUGUUUAAAUAGGGGAAACUGUUAUACCCUGAUUUUGGUCCUGAAUUUUUUUUCAUCAAUCAUUCAUUUUCUAUCCUCCUCAUGACCAUUUCAUCCGGUCAUGAAUCUAUCCAAUUACGCGGGUUGUUUAGACAUGGGCACUACUUGUCAUUCCAUGAUUAUUAGAUUUUUACCUCUCUAUUUGGCUUUAUAUGUUUGAUACAUUUUGAUAGAAUCAGUUAGAAUGUCAUUCUCAUGUCUAAAUUCAAUUCAUGUUUUGUCUCUCAUGGAACAUCAUUUUCCCUUUCAAGGAGAUUCCAUUUAUAUACCAUCUUAUAUUUCUAUAUAUCAUGUUCAAAUUUGCAUUCACAUUUUUUUAUUCACAUUGGAAAGCUACCAUUCAUCCAUACACAUAUUCAUUCAUAUUUUUAUUACUUCAUUCAUUUUUCCCACAUCCACUCACUCACAACCGUCGUUCCUAUUGGCAAGUAACCUUUAAACAUCACCAUUCGAAUACAUGAAGUCCACAAGAUACAAGGAAAGGCUUCUUUUGACUUGCUACGAGAGACGCUAACUUUUUCAUUCACAACAAUGUCAUAUUCUUUACAAAUCAUAAACCACAAGAUACAAGGAAAGGCUUCUUUUGACUUGCUACGAGAGACGCUAACUUUUUCAUUCACAACAAUGUCAUAUUCUUUACAAAUCAUAAGUUUGUCCAAAGCAUACUUAAUUUACAAGAAAAAAAAGUUGGCACUCGAAUCUUUAUUACAAGAGGGGGGUACAUUCAUUGUGCUCCAUACAUGGAGAUUGCUAUAAACAUACAUUAUUGUCCAAAUCAAGCUGGAUUGCAACUGGAUAUGAAGAAGGGACUGUGAGGCUGGCUAGGUACUCUCCAGGAGCAAACAAAAUGUUGCUGAUGCUUCAAAAGCACUUUCAAAAAUCUGGCUCAAUUGCUGAUUUCUUCACCGUUGGUUCAAAUUCUUCCUGCUGUUGUUGUUGCUCCAAUGUAUUUCUCUGAAAAAAAUCAAGUUGGUGUCAUCAAUCAGUGGGGUCAAUUGCGAGCUCAGUUUUUCACCAGCGACUCCCAUGGCUCAGCCUGCUGUGGCAAUCUUGAGUCAAGGUUCUAAUGUAAAUGUGGUAAAACCUGUAUAACCAAAUAUUCAAAUUAAGCCUGGUUUAAACAUUUUCGAAAAUCACAAUCAAAGAAAAUCCUAAAGAAAAACAGCAAUAGCAAUGAUCAACCAGCAUUUUUCAAAAAUGAUGAUGAUUUCGAUGAUGCUUUAGAGGAUGAAGGUUUUUCUCUUGCAAAGAGUAAAAAGAAUCAUAACAAGUCAAGAUUCACCGGAGAAUAUUCUGAGUUUGCAGGUCCAUUGGUUAUCCUUUCAGCCAUUCUCUGGAAGUCAUGCCAAGACCAACCAAAGCCACCGUCGCCAACGGGGAGUGUUAUCAUGUGACCGUCCACAAAACAAUCGUAGCCCUGCAAAAAUCAAACCAAACCAUAACAGUCAAUUUAGAAUCUUCUAG
RNAcentral lists this long non-coding RNA (19682 nucleotides) under Lathyrus oleraceus (garden pea). Its description in RNAcentral is "Pisum sativum (pea) long non-coding RNA (PSAT_LNC034336)". The record is from RNAcentral. Lineage: Eukaryota; Viridiplantae; Streptophyta; Magnoliopsida; Fabales; Fabaceae.